This 1255-nucleotide long non-coding RNA is filed under the name Homo sapiens (human). Its description in RNAcentral is "HSALNT0380621". The record is from RNAcentral. Lineage: Eukaryota; Metazoa; Chordata; Mammalia; Primates; Hominidae.
CCGAGCACAAGUUGAGCACACAGAAACCAAACCAGCCAAAACAACGGAGUUAAAAGUUGUGAGGAAAAAAUGUUAUUAAAUUUAAAAAUGAAAAAGCAUGAACCAAGAGCAACGUUUAGAGAAGGAAGAGGAGGCGGCGAGGCCGGGGAUUUGAGGGGGCGCCGGGAGGCCCCGCUCCCGCCGGAGGCAACAGAACCGUAGCGAGCCAACGGAGGGAGAAGUGGAGUUAGUGUGAGGAGGAAGCCCCGGAUCCCACCCCUAACCCCCCUUCGCCUCCUCUGAGGAUCCAAUAAAUCAAAAGGCGAAAUGAAACAAAAUAAAGAGAAGAAAAACGCUAAUAAUCAGCACGAGAACGCCGAGGACUAGGAAAGACUAGGGCCAGUGCCUCCCCGGGGGCAGGGAGCGGAGGGUGGGGGGGCGAAUAACGUGAAAGUUACCAGAAACAUUAUUUAGCAGCGGAUUCCCUGCGUCCUUGUCAAUUUCAGAGACAAAACAAGCAGCCCAGGCUAGUAGUCUAGGCGGCGGCGCAGCGGCUGCGGCAGCGCGGCCCCAGCGGCGGCCCCGGCGGCGGCUCCUACGCAGCCCGUGCCCGCCCCGAGCCGCGCGAGCCACGGCGGCAGCGGCGCAGCAGCGGCAGCAGGAGAACCGGGGGAAUCGCGCUGCUGGGGUAAAAGCUGGAGCGAGGCGAAAGCGUGUAACGAUUGCACACGCACACACACACACCACUCACACGCACUCGCCGCCCGCCCGCUCGCACAGCGCUGGAACACGCGCGCCCAGACACGCACACACGCACGCACACACACUCGCACACACGCAGAGGCACGGGAGGGAAAGAAGCCGAUGAAUAAUUUUGCUAUUUUUUAAAAUACUGGCCGCCAUCAUCAAGCAGCGAGCAGCAGCAGAAGCGUUGAAGGGAGAGGAGGCAUCGGGACAGGCCCCUCUUAGGAGAGGAUUUAUAUCUAGCCUGGAAUGCAGUGGCACAAUCACUGCUCACUGCAGCCUUGACCGUCUGGACUCAAGUGAUUCUCCUACUUCAACCUCCCAAGUAGCUGGGACUACAGUCAUGCACCAUCAUGCCUAUAAAGAUAAUUUAAUUUAUAAUAAAUUAUUUAUACAAACAAUAACAUUCAGUAUAUUUUUCCAAGACCUUGAUAAAAUAUGAUAGUGGUAUUCUUUUCUUGCCAUAUAUACUCAACCAUUCAAUUCAACCAACAAAUACCAUGAUGAUUGUGUGCUACUCUACAUGUUAAGG